CUUCCACCCCCCCGGCCAUUACCGAAGCGGAUGAAAACAAACACUAACGAUGGCGGCGCCGGGAAGCGACAGGCUGCUGGGCUUAAGGCGGGAGUGACCGCUUAACCAGUGAGGGAAGCACUGAAGAGCGCCAGUCGACGUGGGUGCGACAACUCGCGGAGUCUUAGGAGCAAAACGUCUGGGGCCUGCGAGCCAGGACCCUUCUGAAGCCUUAGGUGUCUGUCGGCGACGUGUACGGUCACUGCAGCUCCGGAGCGCGGAACCCUCAGCCAGGAGGCGCGGCUGGUCGGUCCCAGGUCCCGGCCUCCGUAAUGAGAGCCCGGAACCACUCUUUGUGCCGCAGCUUCACAGGCUGGAGUGUAGUGGUGCGAUCUUGGCUCGCUGCAACCUCUGCCUCCCAGGUUCAAGCGAUUCUCCUGCCUCAGCCUCCUGAGUAACUGGGAUUACAGGCUGGAGUGCAAUGACAUGAUCACAGCUCACUGCAGCCAUACCU
Molecule: small RNA, 493 nt
Filed under: Pan troglodytes (chimpanzee)
Lineage: Eukaryota; Metazoa; Chordata; Mammalia; Primates; Hominidae
Description: processed transcript
Source: RNAcentral